This 1978-nucleotide long non-coding RNA is filed under the name Brassica napus (rape). RNAcentral describes it as "long non-coding RNA (BNAP_LNC003786)". Lineage: Eukaryota; Viridiplantae; Streptophyta; Magnoliopsida; Brassicales; Brassicaceae. The record is from RNAcentral.
UAAAUUUUAACCGAAGUAGGAGUUGUUCUCACUUUCAAUGUCGCCGUAUUCUAAUGGUCUUGUGGUUGGUUGAGAGAAAACACAAGAAGAUGGAGGAGGCGGAUGAUCAGCCGCCGUAGGUUGCGGCGGAGUUGACGGUGUUUGUGGUUGCGGUGCAAUGACGGAGACGCCGCUAGAGUUAUGAAAACCGGCGACUUGGGAGUUGGAAGGUACGAUCAAAGCGGCGACAGCUUCUCGUUGGUUGAACUUGAGAAUCUCGGAUCGUACGGACGUGAGCUCAGCAUGUAAAGCUUGAAUUUGGUGUUGUAGAGCAGAGAUGGCUCCCAUGCAUCCGUAUACUGGAUCUCUAAGCCUCACGUUUGCUUCAUACACGAGACUAUUAGCCGCGUCUGCUCUCUGGCUUUCUGGUACUUCCUGGUUUGGUUAAAAUUGUUUCAUAUUAUGAGAAUAUUGCCUAACAAUAUUAAUGUUUUCAAUGGAAUAAAGAUUUAAUAUAUAUCCUCCAUUUCAUGACAAUAGAUUUUUGAAACUAUUGUCCAAUUAAAAAAAUGGAAGUUUUGUAUGUUGAAUACAAUUUAGUUUUUAUUUUAUUUUUUACUCUUAAUUAAGACAACUACAAAUAAAAUAAACUGAAUUCUUUUGAACUAUGGUAUUAGAAUAUAAUUAUUUUUUGCUCUGUAAAUUUAUUUUAAAGUGCAUGAAAAGUCCAAAACUUCUAUCUUCAUGAAACAGUGUAAGUAAUAAACAGACUAAUCUAUGUUUUGGGAUGACCAAGGAGAAAAUGAAUUUAGUAGAAAUCAAUCAUUGGCAUAGAUCAACCGAGCGAUGAUCACUAUAUUACUAUAAAAAUAUAUUUGUGUUUAAUCUGCAUGCUUAAUUCAUGAUGAUAUUUGUGCUUUGAAAUGGUUACCAUUAGCAUCUUGGAGACGUUGCUAGCUCCAAAGACUUUGUGGACAGAUGCGAACCUAUGAGGCUCAUGUGGGGAGAAGUACGGCGAAAAUGGACAUUCUUGAGCGCAUCUACGGCGCAAAAGCUUGCAAGCUGCACAAGGAGUAAUGGUGUUGAGAGUCCCAUGAGGACCCGACAUUGGUCUUCUGAUUCCUGCCAUCUGAUGAGGCCAAGCAUCUGCGUCUAUUUUGAUGUUUUUCCCUAUCUCUUCAAAUCUCUCCCUGAACACAAGGAACCGAGGAAGAACUUUAAUUUUCAGGAAAAACAUGAACAUAGGAUUAGAACUAUAAAAGGUAGAAAACAACAAUAUCCACCAAUUUGAGGGAAUAAAUCUUAAUAAUUUAAAGAGAGAUGUUCACUUUUUACCUUUCUCUUGACAUUCAGGCAUGCUCUCAGAGGAUCGAAAGAAAAGAGAGAAAAGUAGAAAGAAACAAAAAGAGAAGUAUUAAAGUCAAGUCUCUUAACGAGGGUGUGAAGGAAGAUAGCCGAGGAAGGCUUUAAAGGCAAGUAAAAUACCAAGUUUAAGAUUUCGUGAUCACGAUGUAUAUAUAUUCUACGAGGGUAUAUAUGUGUUAGCAAUAUAUAGCUAGAUAUAUAAGAAAAAAUUGAGCUUGUAAAUAGAACUUUCUGAUGGAGAUGAAAAGGGUUUGGUAGCUCGAGUGUUUCUCUUAAGAUGAAAACGACUGGAGAUAUGUAGUUAGUGAAGACUGAAGAGCUAUAUUUACAGCUUAAGCACGUGAACCGUGAGGACCGGUUUUAGUUUUGUUUUUGAUUUUACAAACCUGAUAUCAGAGAUACAUGAUCAGCCGCCGUAGGUUGCGGCGGAGUUGACGGUGUUUGUGGUUGCGGUGCAAUGACGGAGACGCCGCUAGAGUUAUGAAAACCGGCGACUUGGGAGUUGGAAGGUACGAUCAAAGCGGCGACAGCUUCUCGUUGGUUGAACUUGAGAAUCUCGGAUCGUACGGACGUGAGCUCAGCAUGUAAAGCUUGAAUUUGGUGUUGUAGAGCAGAGAUGGCUCCCAUGCAUCCG